Molecule: small nuclear RNA, 83 nt
Filed under: Carlito syrichta (Philippine tarsier)
Lineage: Eukaryota; Metazoa; Chordata; Mammalia; Primates; Tarsiidae
Source: RNAcentral
GUACUUGCUCUGCAGCACAUAUACCAAAAUUGGAAAAUCUAGAGAAAAUUAACAUGGCCCCUUCUCGAGGAUCACAUAUAAAA